AUUGAACGCUGGCGGCAGGCCUAACACAUGCAAGUCGAACGAGUGGCGGACGGGUGAGUAAUGUCUGGGAACCUGCCCGCUGGAGGGGGAUAACUACUGGAAACGGUAGCUAAUACCGCAUACCAUCGGAUGUGCCCAGAUGGGAUUAGCUAGUAGUUGGGGUAACGGCUCACCGAGGCGACGAUCCCUAGCUGGUCGGAGAGGAUGACCAGCCACACUGGAACUGAGACACGGUCCAGACUCCUACGGGAGGAAGCAGUGGGGAAUAUUGCACAAUGGGCGAAAGCCGGAUGCAGCCAGGCCGCGUGUAUGAAGAAGGCCUUCGGGUUGUAAAGUACUUUCAGCGAGGAGGCGUUACUCGCAGAAGAAGCACCGGCUAACUCCGUGCCAGCAGCCGCGGUAAUUC
RNAcentral lists this ribosomal RNA (406 nucleotides) under uncultured bacterium. Its description in RNAcentral is "partial 16S ribosomal RNA". It matches the Rfam family "Bacterial small subunit ribosomal RNA", at positions 30 to 526 of the family's 1533-position model. The record is from RNAcentral.